CGACAAGUGGAGAAGUUAAGUGCUCUGUGGAAAUAGAGAUGAAAAGAAGUGUGUCAGAUAUAACUCUUGGGUCAUCUAAUACUUGUUUGGUGAGUAAAUUUAUAUGUGUGUACUUAAAUAGGUGUAGGUUAGGUUAGGUGCAAAGUACAUUAGGUUCUUUUUUGAGUACGAUAGUCAUGAUAUUCACCACUUUGACAUACGAAAAAUUGAUCAUACGAGUCUCUUUAGGUAGGUUAGAUUAGGUGCAAAGUACAUUAGGUUCUUUUUUGAGUACGAUAGUCAUGAUAUUCACCACUUUAUAAGAUACGAAAAAUAUAAUCAAAUGAGACUCUAUACUUUUAAUUCCUUUAGGCUUUUAUAUAUUAGUUGACCGUACAUUAGUAAGUUCUUCUUCUGUACAGUCAUCAUCAUCAUAAUUUACCAGUCAUUAAUCGUAGUCACCUUAUACAACAACAACAAAAACAACAUAAAAAAUAUCAAAUGAGCCCCUUUAGUUAUGCGUGACUGGCUCAUGUGUGUUAAUUUAAUACCAGGAGGAGGAGGAGGAGGAGGAAGAAGAAGAAGAAGAGGAGGCACCAUCUCACCUAGUUAUUUCCGUGGGAGGAGGAGGAGGAGGAGGGAGAAGUGGGUGGCGAAGGUGAGGAAGAGGAGGAGGAGGAGGAGGAGGGGAAGGAAUGUGAGGAAGGAAGAAGGGAGGAAAGGGAUGGUGAGAGGGUAGAAAGGAGGAGGAGGAAGAAGAGGAAGAGGAGGAGGUGGAAGAAGGGUUGAAUGAAGAAAAGGGAGGAGGGAAGAAUGGAAGAGGACGAAGAGAAAAAGGAAAUAAAGAAGAAUGUGAGAAAUGAAAAAAUGAUUAGAAACAGGAGGAGAAGGAAGAAGAGGAGGAGGCGGCUGAAGAGAAAGGAAGUGAAGAACAGGGAGGAGGAGGAGGAGGAGAUGAAGAAGGAAGAAGAGGUGAAAGAAGAAGAAGAGGAGGAGGAGGAAGCUGAAGAGAGAGGAAGGGAAGAACAGGGAGAAGGAGGGAAGGGAUAGAGGAGGAGGAGGAAGAUGAGAUGAAGAAGGAAGAAGAGAAGGAGGAGGAGGAGGAGGAAGCUGAGGAGAAAGGAAAUGAAGAACAGGGAGGAGGAGGAGGAGGAGGAGAUGAAGAAGGAAGGCUAGAAGAAGAAGGAGGAGGAGGAGGAAGGGUAGGGGCUGUAUGAUGCUGAUUUGAAAGGGGUAAGUCGGUUGGCAGGUCUUUUUGGUACCCUGCCAGAUACCUCUUCCUCCUCCUCCUCCUCUCCCCCCAUCACAACCAUACAUAACCCAUUCCUCAUAUCACACAUUCCACCAUCACCGCCACCACCGUCAUUACUCGGUAUUUAUAGCCCUAAGGUCACUGAUACAUGCUUGCCUGCUCCCCUGUCAACCCCUAUGUAUUAGUGGUGGUUGGUACGCGAAUCGUCCUCGUCGGAGAGAGAGAGCGAUGUUGUUUGUGGGUGAUUUUGAUAAGGCUUUGGUGGUAGCGAGCGGACUUUGCUUUCCUCUCUCUUUUUUUCUGUCCCGUGAGCUGUUUCCUUUCCCGUUAAAAUGAGAUUGAGGUUGUGAGGUUGUGGAUGGUUCUUCAGCUUGUUAAUUGAUGGUUUCUAUACGAGUGGAAAGAGUGAGACUGUUAAGUAAGUCAAGUUAAAUUAGAGGAUUGUUUUGCUAAUUCGAUAAGGCUUUGGUAGAGGUUGUGUUGGUAUUUGAGAUUGGGGUUGUGAGGUUGUUGAUGGUUCUUUAGGUUCAUAAUUAAUGGUUUCUAGACGAGUGGAAAGAGUAAAUCAGUGUCCAGUAAGUCAAGUUAAAUUAGUGGGUUGUUUAGCUAAUUCGAUAAAGCUUUGGUAGAGGUUGUGGUGAUAUCUGAUGAAGCUUUGGUUGAGGUUGUGUCAGUAUUUCCAUGGGUAGUUUUAUGAGCCUAGUGAUCGUUUGACAAGACUUCUGAAUGUGAAAUAACACUCGUGAAAACCUGAUUAAUCUCCUUUGUGGACUUUGGAAAUAGUUACUCUGUACUCUCAAAUGCUUUCAUAUAGUAAUUUGAAUAUUUAUUUAUUUAUAUCUCUUCAACUUAAGUAGGUUCAAGUUUGUCAUUUUUCUAUAAGAGCUUUUUUUAUGAUGCGUUGAAAGUUUGUAAUCUAUUAAUUUUCUGUUUUAUUUAUCUAUUUGUUAUUUUUUAUUCGAGGUUUAAGAGAAUUCGUAAUUUCUUUUAAUGGCCUUUUCUUGGCCGGCUGGUGACUAAGCUAAUGUAUUUUGUUGCCACACUCUCUUGUAUUUCUGCUUGUGAGUCACUUUCAAAUUUGUUUCUUUUAGCAUUAUAAGUAUAUUUUGCACAAGAGUAUAUUCGCCCUAUCUCACGAAGUCUUUGAUGUCUCCUUAUCUCCUUUCAUUAGUUAAGCAUUUUUGUAUAUUUGUAUUUAUGUAUAGUUGUGUUUUCUUUAUAUUUCUUUACCUUACUUGUGUUGCAUUUUCAGCUUCUCUCGGUCUCUCUCUCUCUCUCUCCAGUUCUUUGAUGUCUGGUCUAUGCUUCUUCCUUUCAAUAUGGAGAGAUUUCUGUGUGUUUGUGUUUAUGUGAGGGGGCUUCGUGGUGCAGUGGUUAGCACACUAGGCUCACAACCGAGAGAGCCCGGGUUCGAUUCCCGGGCGGAGUGGAAAAAUUUGGGUGGCUUUUCCGAUACCCUAUGCCCCUGUCCACCCAGCAGUGAAUGGGUACCAGGUAUUAAUCGUGGGUGUGUCCUGUCUCCUAGGAUCUGUUCCCUUCUAUAAUUCCUUCCCUUUCUGUCUCUCUCCGGCAUAUGACCACAGAUGCUGCGCCGACUAAACAAAACUUUCCAACUUUUUCUAGUCUCUUUAACCCUUUGAAACCACUCCAUCUAUCCUCCUUUCUUUCAAUAUGGAGAGAGGGAUUUCUGUGUAUAUGUUAAGGGAUGUUUGUUUUGUAUACCCAAGUCUUGUUUUAUUUAUUUACUUUGCAUUUGUAGAUUCUCCUGGUCUCUCUACCCCUUUGAAGCCACUCCAUCUAUCCUCCUUUCUUUCAAUAUGGAGAGAGGGAUUUCUGUGUAUAUUUUAAGGGAUGUUUGUUUUGUAUAUCCUAGUCUUGUUUUACUUAUUUACUUUGCAUUUGUAGAUUCUCCUGGUCUCUCUACCCCUUUGAAGCCACUCCAUCUAUCCUCCUUUCUUUCAGUAUGGAGAGAGAUAUCUAUGUGUCCCUCCUCUCAUUAUGAUCCAGUUUAUUGAUCUCGGGCAAGGAAGGGUAAGGAGUCUCGUGCUUCCCCCGCCUCACGCUUUGUUAAAUUCCUCCCCCCUGACUCAGCCCUUGAUUGUGAGUCACGCAGGUGGUGUGGGAAAAAGUGGAGCCUCGUCUUAAGUGGUGGUGUUCCUGCUCUUUAUUUUUAGGGCCUGAGAGAGAGGGGG
Molecule: long non-coding RNA, 3423 nt
Organism: Eriocheir sinensis (Chinese mitten crab)
Lineage: Eukaryota; Metazoa; Arthropoda; Malacostraca; Decapoda; Varunidae
Exons: 3
Source: RefSeq, a predicted model, not a curated record